This 468-nucleotide ribosomal RNA is filed under the name uncultured bacterium. Its description in RNAcentral is "partial 16S ribosomal RNA". It matches the Rfam family "Bacterial small subunit ribosomal RNA", at positions 28 to 507 of the family's 1533-position model. The record is from RNAcentral.
GACGAGCGCUGGCGGCGUGCUUAACACAUGCAAGUCGAACGGAAAGGCCCUGCUUUUGUGGGGUGCUCGAGUGGCGAACGGGUGAGUAACACGUGAGUAACCUGCCCUUGACUUUGGGAUAACUUCAGGAAACUGGGGCUAAUACCGGAUAGGAGCUCCUGCUGCAUGGUGGGGGUUGGAAAGUUUCGGCGGUUGGGGAUGGACUCGCGGCUUAUCAGCUUGUUGGUGGGGUAGUGGCUUACCAAGGCUUUGACGGGUAGCCGGCCUGAGAGGGUGACCGGCCACAUUGGGACUGAGAUACGGCCCAGACUCCUACGAGAGGCAGCAGUGGGGAAUAUUGCACAAUGGGCGGAAGCCUGAUGCAGCAACGCCGCGUGCGGGAUGACGGCCUUCGGGUUGUAAACCGCUUUCGCCUGUGACGAAGCGUGAGUGACGGUAAUGGGUAAAGAAGCACCGGCUAACUACGUG